GUAGGACCCUGGCCUGCUGGAUUAUAAGAAUUGAGCAAAACUGUGGCUUUAGGGGUCUGCCCUGAUCCAAGGGAAGAUGACACUGCAAGGACCUUGCAACAGGCACCCCCAUUGCUGCUGGCCAGUGGCUGAUUGUAACGCUCAGUAGAUUUGAUUGCCCAUGCAAACCCAACUUUAUGCCAAAAUGCCCGUAAAUAAUUUUUCUUUUUAGCAAGCAAAGCUCUGCUUGUGCAUUAGCCAGGAACUGACUAAAGAAGAAAAAAGCUGAUUUCCUGAAGUCCUCUGCUGGUGAAGAAUAAUGAACCUGGAAUCAGAAUGGAACAAAGUGAGCAAUAUUAGUGUAAAAGGUCCUGGGUGUGCACUGGUUCAGCGUGCACGGCGCAGACAUCAUGGCUCGUGUGUGUUGUUUGGGAGCUGAUCUUACAGUCUUCUCUGGCCAAUUUAAUAAACAGUGAAGUGCAGAGUGCUUGGCAUCAAAAGUAGCACCAUCUGUUCUCAAAGCAUGGAUCCUUGUCUCAGGGAAGGGAGCUGCUGUUGUUUUUCAUGAGAAGGUAGGUAGUUGCCUCACUGGAGGGGAGAUCUGGAGUUCUCAGA
This 594-nucleotide long non-coding RNA is filed under the name Taeniopygia guttata (zebra finch). Its description in RNAcentral is "lncRNA (ENSTGUG00000026095.1)". Lineage: Eukaryota; Metazoa; Chordata; Aves; Passeriformes; Estrildidae. The record is from RNAcentral.